RNAcentral lists this ribosomal RNA (1329 nucleotides) under Arthrobacter sp. TM13_1. RNAcentral's name for it is "bacterial SSU rRNA". It matches the Rfam family "Bacterial small subunit ribosomal RNA", at positions 90 to 1419 of the family's 1533-position model. The record is from RNAcentral. RNAcentral also lists the same sequence under 1 other name. Lineage: Bacteria; Bacillati; Actinomycetota; Actinomycetes; Micrococcales; Micrococcaceae.
GAUUAGUGGCGAACGGGUGAGUAACACGUGAGUAACCUGCCCCUGACUCUGGGAUAAGCCCGGGAAACUGGGUCUAAUACCGGAUAUGACUUCCUACUGCAUGGUGGGUUGUUGAAAGAUUUAUCGGUGGGGGAUGGACUCGCGGCCUAUCAGCUUGUUGGUGAGGUAAUGGCUCACCAAGGCGACGACGGGUAGCCGGCCUGAGAGGGUGACCGGCCACACUGGGACUGAGACACGGCCCAGACUCCUACGGGAGGCAGCAGUGGGGAAUAUUGCACAAUGGGCGGAAGCCUGAUGCAGCGACGCCGCGUGAGGGAUGACGGCCUUCGGGUUGUAAACCUCUUUCAGUAGGGAAGAAGCGAAAGUGACGGUACCUGCAGAAGAAGCGCCGGCUAACUACGUGCCAGCAGCCGCGGUAAUACGUAGGGCGCAAGCGUUAUCCGGAUUUAUUGGGCGUAAAGAGCUCGUAGCGGUUUGUCGCGUCUGCCGUGAAAGUCCGAGGCUCAACCUCGGAUCUGCGGUGGGUAACGGGCAGACUAGAGUGAUGUAGGGGAGACUGGAAUUCCUGGUGUAGCCGGUGAAAUGCGCAGAUAUCAGGAGGAACACCGAUGGCGGAAGGCAGGUCUCUGGGCAUUUACUGACGCUGAGGAGCGAAAGCAUGGGGAGCGAACAGGAUUAGAUACCCUGGUAGUCCAUGCCGUAAACGUUGCGCACUAGGGUGUGGGGCACAUUCCAACGUUUUCCGCGCCGUAGCUAACGCAUUAAGUGCCCCGCCUGGGGAGUACGGCCGGCAAGGCUAAAACUCAAAGGAAUGGACGGGGGCCCGCACAAAGCGGCGGAGCAUGCGGAUUAAUUCGAUGCAACGCGAAGAACCUUACCAAGGCUUGACAUGUGCCAGACCGCUCCAGAGAUGGGGUUUCCCUUUCGGGGCUGGUUCACAGGUGGUGCAUGGUUGUCGUCAGCUCGUGUCGUGAGAUGUUGGGUUAAGUCCCGCAACGAGCGCAACCCCUCGUUCCAUGUUGCCAGCACGUAAUUGGUGGGGACUCAUGGGAGACUGUCCGGGGUCAACUCGGAGGAAGGUGGGGAUGACGUCAAAUCAUCAUGCCCCUUAUGUCUUGGGCUUCACGCAUGCUACAAUGGNCCGGUACAAUGGGUUGCGAUACUGUGAGGUGGAGCUAAUCCCUUAAAAGCCGGUCUCAGUUCGGAUUGGGGUCUGCAACUCGACCCCAUGAAGUCGGAGUCGCUAGUAAUCGCAGAUCAGCAACGCUGCGGUGAAUACGUUCCCGGGCCUUGUACACACCGCCCGUCAAGUCACGAAAGUUGGUAACA